GCUUAGAGAGGGGUCAAUGUCCUAUCAGCUAGUUGGCAGGGUAAUGGCCUACCAAGGCUAAGACGGGUAGCCGGCCUGAGAGGGUGGUCGGCCACACUGGGACUGAGACACUGCCCAGACUCCUACGGGAGGCUGCAGUCGAGAAUCUUUCGCAAUGCCCGAAAGGGUGACGAAGCGACGCCGCGUGUGGGAAGAAGGCCUUCGGGUUGUAAACCACUGUCGGGAGUUAAGAAAUGUAAGGGUGUUAAUAGCAUCCUUGCUUGACUAAGGCUCCGGAGGAAGCCACGGCUAACUCUGUGCCAGCAGCCGCGGUAAUACAGAGGCGGCAAGCGUUGUUCGGAAUUAUUGGGCGUAAAGGGCACGUAGGCGGCUUUGUAAGUCAGUUGUGAAAGCCUUCUGCUUAACGGAAGAACAGCAUCUGAUACUGCAAGGCUAGAGUACGGAAGGG
RNAcentral lists this ribosomal RNA (448 nucleotides) under uncultured Planctomycetota bacterium. RNAcentral describes it as "bacterial SSU rRNA". It matches the Rfam family "Bacterial small subunit ribosomal RNA", at positions 217 to 656 of the family's 1533-position model. The record is from RNAcentral. Lineage: Bacteria; Pseudomonadati; Planctomycetota.